GGUCAUUAGACCUUUAAAGGGUAAUUUUUUCAGGUGGAAAGGCUAGGGAAACCGGUUCAACCAAGUUUCUCUGCAGGGGACUAGUGAAAUAGAAAGAAGAAAAUUCCCAGCAGCAGAAUAAGGAACCAGGUAUUGUAGGUGAGACAUAAACUCAAGAGAUUCACUGAGACAGGACACUUUGGGGAGGAUUUUUGUAGCAGAAGGGUCUGGUUUAACUGUGGGACUGACCAAGGGCAGAGUAAGUAGCUGACCUAGAGAGGUACUGUGAUUCUGAAGAGAAACCACGAACCAACUGCAAGAGAAGGAUCCUAUUCUAUACUCAAGAACUAUCUGGAGUGGGGAGGAACCUGAAGCAGGGAAAUGCCUAUAGUAAACCACUAUGUCCACUAGAUGGAGCCACAAACCAUCAAAAAUUUCAGAGACUGCUGCAAAGCAAGAAUUUGAUGGUGGUAUCAGAUCCACAAGAAGAAAUUGCAUUUCUAGGAGUGAAACGAAGUGUAAGGACAAGAAAAAAGCAGGAUUCAGUAUUGGUGCAUCGGGGGUAUGUGAAUGAGUGAGGCGAGACUACAUUGGCUUAAAAUCCAGUAGUUCUUUAUUGCAGCCAGAGCCCUCACAUAGCCAAGACUGGUCUCCACUGAGCUGUCACCAGGCAGCCCCCCCCCCCCCCCGGACGUGUUAUCUUUUAUAUCCCGUUCUUUCAAGCAAGAUCCACUCUGCAAUCCAGCAACUGUGGGCGGAGAGAGACCCAUUACACCAUCUUUCUGUAUUUGCGUAGCUUUUCUUCACUACCUCCUACACUUCAUCUGCCAGCAUUUUCAUCUACCCACUCUUCCAUUUUCAAUUCAGUUCCUUUUCAGCUGAUUUCCUUUACCUCUGGAAGGCUUUCCAGCAGAUUUUUCCCUCAUCACCUGACUGCUUGGCUUUCCUCAGGUCACUUUCUCACACCUGACAUAGAACUGUUCCUCUAGGUACCCACAGCACAUAAAUAAACGGAGCAGCUAACUGUUUAUUCAUGCAUCCUGCUACUGAGUUUGAAAAUACAGAUGCCUGUUUGCAUGCAGAAAUGUAAGAGUUUGGAGAGGACAACAGAUGUGUAUAGAUCACAGACUAGCCAUUAUGCCUAUGGCUGAAAAUUAAACUCCUGUUAUUGACAGCCUCAACAAAACCACCUCAGCAAAACUGAAAACGUCAGGGUCAAUGGCCAACUUCUCCUUUUGCAUAAUUUCAGCUGCACUUGUAUUUGGUCAUCAGAGACUGAAAGGCCCAAUUAUUUUCAGGUGGCUCUGUAUUUUAUGGUGUUCAGAACAUUAACUCCCAUGCAUCCUCUAACUAUCGCCAGUGUUUUGGAAAUACCAGAAUUCCUGUCCAAAACAACCCAGGAACAAUUUUACAUAAAGGGGAGCACAAGUUGAUCUGUAAAUAUGCAACCCUUCUGCCAGGUGCCAAUAGUAACAACAAGGGCUGAGAUCAGUGUGUCAAAGGCUCCUUUUCAAAAAAUAAAGACAGUGGAUUGAGCCCUCACUCAGAAGCCUACUCUUAUUUGUGGCUCUGGGAAAUAAAAUAAAGAUUCUUUACAAGCAGUUCUUUCCCCCCCCCCCCCUCUCCUCCCCACUCACAAGCACUCAGGAGUAGAGCUGAGCACAUAUUUUGGCUAAUAGUUUCAGUUCACCAAAAAAUAAAAUUUUCAGCAAAUUUACUAUUCAUUUGACACAGUCACUAAAUGGUUUCAGCCAAAACCAUUUUUUUUUUGGGGGGGGGGGGGAGGGAAACCGAGGCACCAUUCAGAGAGCAGGAAGAGCUGCCACAUCACUGUUAUGGUUAUCUUAGUCAUUAGGGCACUCACUAGGGAUGUUGGAGCCUGGGUUCAGUUCUGCCUGAUGUGGAGAAAGGAUUUGAGUUUGGGCCUCCCGCAUUGCUGGAGACAGCCAAGAGGCUAUGGGAUAUUCUGGGGUGAUGUUUUCUCAAUCUCUCCUGGUGAAGCUGUUCCACUGUGUAUCAAUAAUUAGUCAUUGGGGCAGGGACAUGAACCCAGGUCUCUUACAACCCAGCUGAGUGCCCUAAUUACUGAGCUCAAACAUAUAAGAAGGAAGGCAGAAGUAGCACCACCACCACCACCUUCUCCUCUCUCUCCCACUUUGUGAAUCUAGUCCUUUAAAAUCAUGAGGUAUCAAAAUAUUUUAUUCAACCUGAAAUGAGCUUACAAAAUUUUGGCUGAAUUUCAUAUUCACUUUGGAUCAAACUGGAAAAUUAAUUAUUCUCCCAGCUCUACUCAGGAGUCCUUCAGGAACACGAAACACAGAAAUCUUAUU
This is a long non-coding RNA of Trachemys scripta elegans, 2309 nucleotides long. RefSeq lists it as uncharacterized. The transcript has 3 exons. NCBI's taxonomy places the organism in Eukaryota, Metazoa, Chordata, Testudines, Emydidae. The record is from RefSeq and is a predicted model, not a curated record.